UCUACUUAUGCUUGGGUAGCCUGUGCUUUCUUGUAGUUCUCCUUUUUUCCGGGUCUCUGCUGCUUCCACAUGACCUGCAUUUGGGAAGAGGGAAGAAGCUGCUUGGAACUGCCCAGAAAACAACCCCAAAGGAUGUCAGGGGAGCUGGACAGUAUCCCAGCCCCUUUCCUUGGGUUUCUACCCCUGCAGCCUACAGAAGAGCUCCUGAGGAAGGAGAGGAGGGUCUUGAUAAAAGGCUGAUGGGGAAGCAGGAGGAACCUGGUUGGCUCCCACUCCCUGCUCCUUUCAUGCACUCAGCUGUGUAUGAGAGAGGAGUUUAGGGCAGUCCUGCCUCCUGGCUCAAGGGGCACAGGGUAUCAUCCGACAGGAGUGCGCAGCCCUUAGUGGGUGAUUGGGUUUCUCAGGAUCAGGGAUGAUUAUUCUAUUUAUUUUGCCCCUGUCAAAAAAGGAAACGGGCCGGUUUCUGCCAAGUAAUUUUACACCUAAGUAUUUCCUUCUGUUUGUCUUAAAAACAGCUUAGUAUGGAUGUUACCUCCAGGUCGGGAGGUCACUGGGGGAUUGGGAGAGGCUUUUCUGGGAGCACAGCACACUCCUGGAAGCCUGUUCCUAAUUGUCUGGUGGAGAUGAGGGAAUACGGAGCCAAUCCAAGAAACACAGCAUCAUGGAGUGGGGCUUUGCCCCUUUGACAAGGAUGUGAGAUGUGAUGGAGGAGAGUGUGCAUCACCUGCUGCAGUGAUUCACUUUGUACAACUCACCAAGAAGCCCUGUUCGCCACAAGCAUGUUCAUUGAUCAGCCCUUGCAGGUAAAGGCACUUGCUGACAUCCCCCAUCAAGAGAUCUUCCAGCUCAUGGAAGGGGCUCAUCUCCACUGGGCUUGUCUUGGUCAAGGGUUUUCUACAGGCUUUUAAUUUUCCCUGUGGAUUGAAACUGGAUGUAAAACCUCAGUCCUCUCUGUAAAACCCUGGCCAGGUCCCUCAAACAGCCUGAUGAAGGAGAGCAAGUACAAGAUCCCCCACUCAAACAUAGUCCAGCUUGACAACCCAAUGGU
Molecule: long non-coding RNA, 1048 nt
Organism: Neopsephotus bourkii (Bourke's parrot)
Lineage: Eukaryota; Metazoa; Chordata; Aves; Psittaciformes; Psittacidae
Exons: 3
Source: RefSeq, a predicted model, not a curated record